RNAcentral lists this ribosomal RNA (303 nucleotides) under uncultured bacterium. RNAcentral describes it as "partial 16S ribosomal RNA". It matches the Rfam family "Bacterial small subunit ribosomal RNA", at positions 507 to 807 of the family's 1533-position model. The record is from RNAcentral.
AGCAGUAGCCGCGGUAAUACGGAGGGAGCUAGCGUUGUUCGGAAUUACUGGGCGUAAAGCGCGCGUAGGCGGUUACUCAAGUCAGAGGUGAAAGCCCGGGGCUCAACCCCGGAACGGCCUUUGAAACUAGGUAACUAGAAUCUUGGAGAGGUCAGUGGAAUUCCGAGUGUAGAGGUGAAAUUCGUAGAUAUUCGGAAGAACACCAGUGGCGAAGGCGACUGACUGGACAAGUAUUGACGCUGAGGUGCGAAAGCGUGGGGAGCAAACAGGAUUAGAUACCCCAGUAGUCCCUGUCUCUUAUAC